ACUCCUACGGGAGGCAGCAGUGGGGAAUUUUGGACAAUGGGCGCAAGCCUGAUCCAGCCAUGCCGCGUGCGGGAAGAAGGCCUUCGGGUUGUAAACCGCUUUUGUCAGGGAAGAAAAGGUUCUGGCUAAUACCUGGGACUCAUGACGGUACCUGAAGAAUAAGCACCGGCUAACUACGUGCCAGCAGCCGCGGUAAU
This 197-nucleotide ribosomal RNA is filed under the name uncultured bacterium. RNAcentral describes it as "partial 16S ribosomal RNA". It matches the Rfam family "Bacterial small subunit ribosomal RNA", at positions 335 to 524 of the family's 1533-position model. The record is from RNAcentral.